RNAcentral lists this unclassified non-coding RNA (527 nucleotides) under Hevea brasiliensis (rubber tree). The record is from RNAcentral. Lineage: Eukaryota; Viridiplantae; Streptophyta; Magnoliopsida; Malpighiales; Euphorbiaceae.
GAACAUUUGGCCCACCUCUCCACACAAAUGGCUUUUGGAAAUAUGCCGAGAUAGGUAAAUUUAAGAGUUUCAAUUAGGUAGCUAUAAGAAGCUUUAAACAGCGAGAACAAGUCGAGAAGAAAGUUUGCAUGAUGAUAGCCUUACAUGGUAUAGUGGCAUCCCGUUUGGACCACAACCUGGACGGACAAUUUCAUUUUGCGGGAAAAAAAGGGAACACUAAUAGAGGGCAAAAUGCCUAGCACUCACAUGUACUACCCAGCAAAACAAUUGAGCAUUUGGCCAUGUCGUAGGAAAAAUACUUCAUUACACUUUAGCACAAGCUGAUCAACAAACUCCAUUUGUUGACAAGGCUAUGCAACCAGAAGAGAAUUCGACUUUAGGACAUUACCACGAAACCAUUGGAACACUACACAACCACAACACAUAGACACUUUCUUUUCUUCUGAUAAUAACCUGAGUCUUUUGUUGGCUAAACACUCUCUAAUAGCAAUACCUAUAUUUGGCCACGCAACAAAAUUUUCAUUUUA